This 468-nucleotide ribosomal RNA is filed under the name uncultured bacterium. RNAcentral's name for it is "partial 16S ribosomal RNA". It matches the Rfam family "Bacterial small subunit ribosomal RNA", at positions 28 to 507 of the family's 1533-position model. The record is from RNAcentral.
GACGAACGCUGGCGGCGUGCUUAACACAUGCCAGUCGAACGGAAAGGCCCUGCUUUUGUGGGGUGCUCGAGUGGCGAACGGGUGAGUAACACGUGAGUAACCUGCCCUUGACUUUGGGAUAACUUCAGGAAACUGGGGCUAAUACCGGAUAGGAGCUCCUGCUGCAUGGUGGGGGUUGGAAAGUUUCGGCGGUUGGGGAUGGACUCGCGGCUUAUCAGCUUGUUGGUGGGGUAGGGGCUUACCAAGGCUUUGACGGGUAGCCGGCCUGAGAGGGUGACCGGCCACAUUGGGACUGAGAUACGGCCCAGACUCCUACGGGAGGCAGCAGUGGGGAAUAUUGCACAAUGGGCGGAAGCCUGAUGCAGCAACGCCGCGUGCGGGAUGACGGCCUUCGGGUUGUAAACCGCUUUCGCCUGUGACGAAGCGUGAGUGACGGUAAUGGGUAAAGAAGCACCGGCUAACUACGUG